RNAcentral lists this ribosomal RNA (729 nucleotides) under uncultured bacterium. Its description in RNAcentral is "bacterial SSU rRNA". It matches the Rfam family "Bacterial small subunit ribosomal RNA", at positions 8 to 713 of the family's 1533-position model. The record is from RNAcentral.
AGAGUUUGAUCCUGGCUCAGAACGAACGUUGGCGGCGUGGAUUAGGCAUGCAAGUCGAACGAAUCCCGUCUCUCACCCUGCCCUCUCUCGGAAGAGCGAGGGUGCGGUGAGGGACGGGGAAAGUGGCGAAAGGGGCAGUAAUGCGUGGGUAACCUACCUCGGGGACGGGGAUAGCCUUCCUAACGGAAGGGUAAUACCUGGCGAUUCGGCGAGAGGACAUCCUCAUGCCGGGAAACGAGUUUCGCCUCGGGAGGGGCUCACGUGAUAUUAGCUAGUUGGUGAGGUAAUGGCUCACCAAGGCAAAGAUGUCUAGCGGGUGUGAGAGCACGACCCGCGCCACUGGCACUGAGACACUGGCCAGACACCUACGGGUGGCUGCAGUCGAGGAUCUUCGGCAAUGGGCGCAAGCCUGACCGAGCGACGCCGCGUGUGCGAUGAAGGCCUUCGGGUUGUAAAGCACUGUCGAGGGGGAGGAAGCCGCAAGGUUGACCUAUCCCUGGAGGAAGCACGGGCUAAGUUCGUGCCAGCAGCCGCGGUAAGACGAACCGUGCGAACGUUGUUCGGAAUCACUGGGCUUAAAGGGCGCGUAGGCGGGUUUUCAAGUCUGCGGUGAAAGCCUCCAGCUUAACUGGAGAAGUGCCGUGGAUACUGAGGACCUCGAGGUGGGUAGGGGCAUCUGGAACAGCCGGUGGAGCGGUGAAAUGCGUUGAUAUCGGCUGGAACUCCGAU